CUCUCUCUCUCUCGUCAUCGCCAGCGUCAUGGCGUCAUCCGUCGCCACUGGCGAGAUCGCGGUCCGCCACCUCGAACGGCGCCGCGGAACCAAUCUUCCCCAUCGCACGCGCCGUUCAUCGCCUCCUCGAAGUUCGUCAGCCUUGCCGUGCAACGCUAUCUCCAAUUACUCGUCGUCCGCCUCCCUUUGCCAUCAUCCUCGGCCUCGUCCUGCUGGCCGUCCAACUUCGCCCCGAUGAAGCGAAACUGGUAUAUGGUGUACACCGGGAGGAAUCCAUGAGUUUAUGAUUCAUGGGAGAAAUGCAAUGAACAAGUGAACGGUUACAAGAACAACUGCUAUAAAGGAUAUAUGACUAAAAAGGAAGCAGAGGAUCGUUACGCCAACUAGGUCCGCAAAAAUAAAAUCAACUAUGAAGUAUGCUAGACCGUGUGGAGAAGUGAACGAGUAAAAAAAAUCAUUAUUUUUAUCCAGUUCAUUGUCAUUAUGGUGUUGUUGUUAUCAUGACGUCUUGUAUGUGUGUAGCAUGCCGGAGGCUUUGCUAAGUAGGCUACGUGUACUAAUGAUGUCACGCAAGUUGUUGUACUCUAAUGCAUACUUCUAUUUGUAUUGUAUUUGGAUUAUUAUUGUUAUGCU
Molecule: ribosomal RNA, 633 nt
Filed under: Triticum aestivum (bread wheat)
Lineage: Eukaryota; Viridiplantae; Streptophyta; Magnoliopsida; Poales; Poaceae
Description: partial small subunit ribosomal RNA
Source: RNAcentral